GGAAGUUUUAAUCUAUCAUACCUUGAUUCUGGCGAUUUGGUGAUCUUAAAUGCAAGCUAUGAAAUCGUUAGUUACCCAGUUCAGUAAAUAAUCCCUCUCAGGAAUCCGCGCAAGAAAAAUGACAAAAAUGUUACACCGCGAUUAGAAGAAGGAAAUUGUAAAUUACCAUCAAAUCCAGAGCUGAAAACCUCUGAGCUUCAGAGUUCCCAAUUACAGGAAAUGUUUUCUGCGAUUGACAAUGUCCCAUAUUAGAUUGCGGGGGUCAGGUGGUGGUGGGAAACUCUUGACUGCCGGCGGUAGUGACAACUUCUAACGCUGGUCAUGAAGGGUAGCUACCGGUGCC
This 343-nucleotide unclassified non-coding RNA is filed under the name Hevea brasiliensis (rubber tree). Lineage: Eukaryota; Viridiplantae; Streptophyta; Magnoliopsida; Malpighiales; Euphorbiaceae. The record is from RNAcentral.